GUUCCUCCCUCUCCUCAGUGAUUUACUGUCUUCUGUAUUUACUUUUUCGCUAAAUAGAAUUUAUUAAGGGGUGCGAGAAAACCUAUGAAUGCAGCUGAAAUUUAACCGUCCGCACAGGUCGUAAAUAGAAACGGUUGUUUCUCAUGACAAACGUGGAAUGUCCUAUGUUGUGAAAUAUGCAGCACAUUGCAGCUGCGGGAUACAUCUGAAAACAUCUGAAUCCGAAGCGAAGCACCUCCCCGUCAGCGACGGCCACAGAGGAGAUGGCCGACAGUCUGGAUCAAGCACCUUAUCCAUUCUGGCCUGGUAACGAGGCCACAAAUCAAGCUGCCUGCUGCGCUCGUUCAUAAUGCCCUGAGAUUUCGCAGUUACGAGGUUUGUGCAUGUGUGCUUCUACCAAGGCUACUGAACUGAAAGGAAACUACAGGUGUACGCCGAUCAUUUGAUAUGGCUGCAUAUCUGCUCUUUGUCAUUGCACGACAAACCGAUAAAUAAUUCAAAGGGGUACUUCUGCCCAGAUUGUUGCGGUUCCCUAUCUUCCACCCCUUCAGGCUUUCAACAGGAAGGACACAAGAGUACAAGAGAUUACAGCUGCAGCUGACUAAUGGAGAAGACAGUUUCUUUUUCCCACCUAACAAGGUGUUCAUAAUAUAACACAGUAAACAAAGAACUUGGCGUAUUUGCCUAGCAACCUGACACGACCAAUUGUUACAAUAUUGACGGACGCCAUCCUGACCAAUCAGAGUAAUAGAACUUAGUUUACAGAUGCAUAUACAAAUACUCCCCCUAAAGUAUGUCAUAAUUUGAGAUGAUUCGCACCCUGAGCAGAGCUAUGCAGUAAAACUGUGUGGUUCCUGCCUGCUCCCGAGCUCGUAAUAAAAUUUCCCGAGAACAGCGUUCCUGACUUUGCCUGGUGUUUU
This is a long non-coding RNA of Anguilla anguilla (European eel), 920 nucleotides long. RefSeq lists it as uncharacterized. The record is from RefSeq and is a predicted model, not a curated record. The transcript is spliced from 3 exons. Lineage: Eukaryota; Metazoa; Chordata; Actinopteri; Anguilliformes; Anguillidae.